UUCUUCUCUUUGCUUCUGGCUCCCUUUCUAAUUUAAGUUUAAUAAUUCAAGAUAAUUUUUCCAACUUGGAAGGUAUUUUCCCUUCCAUAUACUGUUUUUUUGGUUUGUUUCACAAGGACCAGUUUUCAUAUCCUGAGCAGGUGUAGCCCUGGCCAUAGGGCAGCCUCAUGUGAAUCACAAAUGGAUACACACCAGAGAAGAGAUGUCAACAGUCUUCCUGAUGCAUCAUUCAGAGGGGCACUCCAAAUAAUGCCUCAGAGCUAAAGCCUGUCAACCACUUCUGCUGUACAGACACCUGCAAGAAUUGAGACUCGUGCUCACGGCUGGAGUAGCUCAGGAAAAUGAAAAUACGUAGUGGAGAAAACCAUAAUUCAAAAAGAUAUAUGCACUGCAAUGUUUGUUUCAGCAAUAUCUACAAUGGCCAAGACAUGGAAACAUGCCCAUCAACAGAGGAAUGGAUA
Molecule: long non-coding RNA, 461 nt
Organism: Phacochoerus africanus (Common warthog)
Lineage: Eukaryota; Metazoa; Chordata; Mammalia; Artiodactyla; Suidae
Exons: 3
Source: RefSeq, a predicted model, not a curated record